GAGAGAGCGAAAGAGAGAGAGAGAGAGAAAGAGAGAGAGAGGGAGAGAGAGAGAAAAAAUUAACAGAAACAGAGCGUGGAGAAAAGAGCAUGAUAACGAGCGCAAGUGGCAACGCUUGCUAAUUAUUCGUCCGUCUCUUUCCUCGUGUCCCUCCGCGCGAACCCUUCUUCGCCUUUCUCCUUCCGCAUUGUCACGCGGAUCGGCAAGGGUGGCCCGUUCCGAAAAGCGGAGCCCGAGUACGUGCGCGAGAGUGGUGAGCGUCGGGCCGAAGAGUGUAGUGCGCGAGCGAGCAAGUGUGCGGGUGGCCGUACAGUCGAGAGAGGAGCGGUCGUCUCGUGGGUAUAUUUAAAUAGUGUCUCGGCUGAUCAGAGAGGAGGCCGACACUUUCCUCGUCGUCGUCGUCGUCGUCUCCGCCGCCGUUACCGUCCUCGUAUUCCUCUUUUCGUCCCCGUUAUAGAGAAUCUCCGUUUCGCCGACCGUGUCCCGCGCUCUCCCUCCCUCUCUCUCUCUCUCUCUCUUUCUCACUUUUGCCGCUUCGGUCCGCGACACCCCGAGUCUCGGACAGCGCGCGAGGGGUUGGCGAGACGAUCCGCGGAAUUCCGCACGACUCGAUGUCGCUGACGGCCGCGGGUGUUCCCUGGUGCGAGGCCGAGCAGUUCCGUUUGCCCGCGAGUGCGAGCGAACACGUGGACUAGAGAGGACUACUCGGCCGGUUCCGUCGACUGUCAAGCAUCCGAGCCCGUCUCGCUCGGAAUCGCGGAAAGAACUCGACGGGGCUCUCGCGGUGAGACCAUCGAUGAGGCCCCGGUUCAGGUCGGACCAGGAUGAUCGUGCCGAUCGCGAAUCAUAAUGAACACGACCUAUGAGAGAUCAAUGCUGGUUAUCGCGUCCGCGAUCGUCGCAGCCGCCGGUCGGGAUCAUCUGCGAUAAUACGACGCCUUUCCGAAGAAAGAAAGGAAAACGCCCGUAGAUAAGAUAAGCGGCCGCAUCUUGCGGUUCGCCACCGGUGCUGUUUCCGCCAGCUUUGACGAUGAGGAGAAUAGUGUCUCGUAGGACGAAGAGGAAUAUGGAAGAAACCCCGACGUUCCACUACCGGCGGUACAACACCUCGUGAGGAGCCCGAAUCCCGGAAGAGGAAGCCGACAACGAUCUAGCCGUUUGGGCGAGCGGGACGAGAAAGAGAGAGAGAGAGAGAGAGACAGAGGUGACUACUCGCGAGGGGGGAAACAACGAGGAACAUAGGACUCGCAGGAGCAUCUGUAUCAGCGAAAGGGACACGUUCCCCGAGCACCAAGAAGGAGGGGGCGAGAAACGCGUGCCUCUGUGCGAGUCGGGGUGACCGAGGUGUCGACCUCACCCCCGAUCACACCGCCAACCAGGUUGGAUGAUGUGGGCGCCUCUGCUUUUGGCCGGGUUCUUAAGCGGCUGGUGGGGCGCACUGGCGCUCGCUGCGGCACCCCCCGCCAUUCGGGACACCGUCCUCGGGAAAACGUCCGGGACGACGACAAGCAUCACCGAGGCGAGGCACUAUCGUCCACUGUCGAUAAGCGUGGUGGACGAGGCCGGAGUUACGGGGUGGUACCAGUCGCGAGAAAUUGCGGCACACCCGGAGCACACGUCCUCCGACCUUCGCCCAGCUCGUCCUCGCGACCUCGACGCGGUCUCGCUGCUUCGUCAGAGCUCGGUGAACCUCGGGGAGGACCUCAUCCGAGAUGGAGAAGGAUCGCCGGAGAGCGACAUGCGACGGUUCUCGUAUUACCUGGCGACACGUGGAGCAACGUCGUCCGCGGUGGAUCCUGGAACUCGGCCGAGUCCCAAACGAACGGAGGACCCCGCCAAGGACAGCGCCUCCCUCCCCGCCGUCGAGACGGAGACGCGCGUUCGCGCCUUUCAUCCCGAGAUAAACGAGUCCGGUCUGACUCGCGCGCCCCGUCACUCCUCGACGCAAGCACCCCUCGCGUAUUCACCGGCGGAGUCGUCGAUGCAGCGGCCACGGAUCGCCAGAUCGACGAAGCAGAGACCAAAGAACCGUACCAGAGCGGACUCGCCCCGCGAGCAGCGACGCCGCUGCAGAAACAAGGACAGAGGCUGCCGCGGUCAAAACUGGUGUCCCGAUGUUGACGUGGGCAAUCGGGCCUACCUGGCGCCCACCGUGUUCGAGGGUAAGGUUCGCAGCAUGUCCUCGCGGAGGAAGCCCGGCUUCAACUACGCGGUGACCUUCGAGGUGAAGCAGGUAUACAAGAACCAGCCGGGCUUUCAGCCGCUGCAGAAGAACGAUAGCGUGCGGCUACAUUUUCGCGACAAAUUGGUGCCUGGCAAGUCGACCGUGUGCAACGGCCACGAGGCCGGUAACAAGCAGCAGCAGCAGCAACAGCAGCAACGCGAUAAUCCGAGUGGUGUGGUGCGAGCCAAUAUUAAAAGGGGCAAAGUGUAUCUAGUGUUUGUGGAUCGCGUGGGACCCAGAAACUUCACGAUCCUCGGCGAGCCGGUGAUCCGAAACAAGAAGAACGAACAAGUCGUCCAAGCUGUCGUUCGACCGGAUUACGUGCGAGAAGUUACGUUGUCCGAACUCAGGGACUCGAUAGCGAGGUUACGGGAGAGAGUGAAGCUAGUAUGCAGGACGAGGGGCUCGCCGCCCCCGAGAGUGCACUGGCUGAAGGACGGUGUACCGCUGCACCCCCGAAGAGGCCUCAGGAUUCAGCACAAACGGCGGAGAUCGAAAGUCGUGAUAUCCUCCGCGAAGCCUGAGGACAGUGGCAGAUACGAAUGCGUGGCUGAGAGUACUUCCGGUCAUCGGGCCUCACUUACGGCUCAACUUCUAGUCGCUCAUGAUAACAGAAUUCCGGAAACAACGACAGCGGCGUGGCCGCGGCAGGAGCAGCCCUGUCCAAUAGCAGGAGAUUUUUGCAUGAACGGUGGUACCUGCCUAUUUUUCGAGACUGUCGGUGAACCAGCAUGCAAAUGCGCAGAGGGCUUCACGGGUCUACGGUGCGAGACGAAGGACGUCAGCAGCACCGGAAAUAUGGAUAAGUUCUCUUCGUUCGCCGAGGACGUGACGCUCGCCCGCUUCUAGCGCAUCUAGCGGCACUGUCAAGCUUGCACAUCGGGACAUUCAUCGUGUUUUGUUUUGUUGUAGCCUCACCCAUACGCCCGCCCCUCGCUCCCUAUUCCCGUACAAAUUCCUGCAUCCGCGACUUCGCCCUCCGCGCUCUUCUCGGGCUCUCCUCCCGAAGCGCGCUUCCACCCUUCACCAUAUUACUAUCAUCCAUCGAAUCGCGUAAUCGUCUCGAGCACUCGACGCUGCUCGCCCGUCGUCACUUUUUCCCCAUUUUCCUCCCUCGAACCGUCUUCCUUCUAUCCGUCAUUCUUCUCCUCUAUCGUUUUCCUACGUUUCGUCCACUGUCUACUACCGUCAUCUUCUCGACAUCAAUUUGCUUGGAGACGACGAUAGCAGCCACCAGCGGAAAAUAUCAUCGUUUUUCAAAGGAGAGCCUCAGGAGACGAAGCGAGCCGCCGACCAACGUCAUCCUCACACACAUCGCAUCCUGGACCGUCGUGAGUCGAAAUUUCGCCAGCUAGCCUUCGCGGAAGCCGUCGCGCUGAGCGUCCUUUUUCGUCGGACAAAAAGACCCGGAGAAGCGGAAAGUUUUAACUCUGUAUCCGAAGCUCUUCGCCCUGGGACGCGACAAAGGUGAGGACGAAGACUAUCAAGAACUCGCACGCUACCCAGAAGAAACCAACCCCAUCCAUGGACGGGAUUAGGAAACUUGCAACGAUGCACCUUGCCACCUCAUCUGCAAGAAAACUUGGUUCCUUCGUUCUUUCGACGAGAAAAAAUCAUGAGACACGAUAAUGGACACGCAAAAUGAAUGUAGAAGAGAGUAUUACGAACAACUCGCUGCUUACUUCUACUUAUAAUCCAUUGCGCUCUGGUUGUUUCCGUUACGUUUUUCUUGGGUCAUCCAAUGAUUAGUAGCAUUCUAAUACAUCGAUUAGAGAGACUAUGAAAAUGUUGUCGUCUUACAGGAUCUUUCUUACUGUUAGUAAUGGUGAUUUGAGAAAGGACUUGACGAGAGCAACUUUUCAAUCAGGAUUAUAUCACAUUCGGGACCUUGAGUAAAAACGGUGGCAACGAUACGCGGGUAAAUUUGCUAAUGCUAUUUUCUUCCACGAAAACAAUCGACUUAAAGUCAACGUCGAAACAAGGAACGAAAUCGAGGAACGAAAGUGCCCUUCUGAUUUCUGGUAAAACAGAAGGAGGAGUGUGUCAAAGGUUCUCGUAACGCUCGUUUCCGACGGGGUUUGCACAAGGAAAGAGGAAUAAGAGAGGAAAGCCGUCGUAAAACCAUACCAUAGGGCACGCUCAGAUCGACGUAGUACCACGGGGAUGUCGUGAUAUCAUUUUACGGGAUUGCAGGAAGAGAGAGAGACUCGUGAGGAUGAUCCCGAGUACCGUAAUAGGAUUUUCGGGAUCAGAGCUUUACGCAGGAAGGAUUGCGGUAUCUUUCGGGCACCAAAUAACGCAUAACGCGAAAUUUUCAGCUUCCGCAGACAGAAUACAGCUUUAAUUAACAGAAUGUCCUAUAAUUACGUAAACCACUUUAGCGAAAUUUUAACUGUCCACCUGACUUGGAUGAUAACGCAAAACGAGAUAAUAAAUUCCGUACCGUUAAUUACAUAUCGUCCGCAUAAAGACAAAUUGAGUUUUAAAUCAACUUUUCAUGAUGCUAUUUUUGACAACGCUAAACUUUACCGAAUUCUAUUAAGAUAUACGUUUGUUUUCUGCUAUUUUUAUCUCUGCUAUGUAAUUUACAUAUUCUCCGACAUAUUUUACAUAUAUACAUUUCUGUUAAAUACUUAUAAACAUUAUCGCAUAGUUUCUUUUCAUUUCAAUUACAAUAUUUAAAAUGUUUAAUUGCGUUCAAUUAUGUUUAGUAUCUUUCAAUACUUGAAAUUAUCUUUCCCAGCUGCGUUGUGUCAACUUUGGGACUCAAAGUACAGACGUAAAUCAGGUCUCUAAGAAUAGAUACUAAAAUCCCCUGGCUUAUAAAAAUGUUGAAACGGUCAGGUGAAAAAUUUGUAUACAGCCCGGAAGAUAUACGUCGCAACCGUUUGUAUGUUCAGGAAGGAUCUAGCCAGCUACGAAAAGACGUUCCGCGCGCGCGCGCGCGCGCGCGCGACCUCCGGAGAGAUUUCGCCGAAAAGAAAUCCGACCUCAACGACGCGUUUAGGACACUCCUAUUGUACAAAGUAACCCCCCGUACCCUCUUUUUUAAGCGUCCGGCGCAGCGCGUCGACUCUCGAACGGUGAAAACACCGAGCAGACUCCAUAUGUCGAUUAUCCGUUCGCAGAGCGAAAGAAACGCGCGAGUAAAGUCGAGUAACAGAAGACGAGGACGACUAAACUGUACAAGAACAUCAUUUCUACUACGUUUUCCGAGCUCAAUGCAAUUAUACGUCGUCACUAUCCGACGAUAAAAUCAGAUGUACUUUCAUUAACGAAGCUCGCAAUUAAUAUUGGCAUGAGAGAUUACGUUUCAUCUUUAUCGUAGCAAAUUGUAAUAACGAAUAAAAAUGUCAUUUAAUGAUUUCACUUUAUAGAUAAUAAAUGUUGCAGAAUUGAUGAAAAAGAUUCUAGUUUACGAAUUAGAAAUAUCCUGAUAAAUUAAAAAAUUGUGAAAUAUUAUACAUUGUCUAGUCGACUAGUAUCGAGAGUGGACGCGCGCGCGCUUACUUUUUACAUUUUAAGAACAUACACGGUUACGUAUAGGUAGUUUUGUGGGCGAACAAAGCGAGCAGAGUGUUCCGAGCCGUUCUCACGCGAUGAGAAGCGGAAAGUACUUUACGACUCUAGCUAUAUAAAGCAGAAAAAAAAGAAAGACUCUCGAGCGAGAAGAGAGAUCGUCGUAGCGUAUGAUGUCCGUGCAAGCUUACUAGUGCCGCCGUGCUUUUUCGUUAACUCCGUUUCGUCGCUCGUACCUAUCGAACGAUUUGUAUGAAAGUCAUCGUGGUGAGUCGUCGCGAGACUGGCCGUAGUAAUCGAGAUUUCGCGACAUCAACGAGCGAGUUUCGAUUUUACAGUAGCAGAAAUAUUAGACUCUCAUUUUUGAAACAUACUCUUCCUAUGUAUAAUUCUACCAUGGUAUAUAAUUCUUAAUAAUUUUACAAGGAUGUUAAAUCGUUAUAUCAUCAUUUUACGUUGUACACUCUAUAAUUAUAGAAUGAAAAAUGUUGAAACUGUUUUAGGUCUCGUGUGAAAUUGUUCAACUCGCUCGCUUAAUAUCGCGACUCGAUUCGAAUGUGCAAUUACCGUGACGAGACGGCGAGUCCGCGAAUAGUGAACAAAAGAAAGAAUGUAUUUUAUGAUAUUUUACGCAUAAAGGAAAGAGGAACGAUCGUAAAUCGAAAUAUAGCGUUAGUUGAAGGUAAAUUUAAGUAAGUAGAAGUGUAUAAAUAAAAUGAGACAAUUCGCGCGGGGACACCGCGUCGCGAUCAAACGCGAUUUUACACGUAAGGAGAAUCUCGGUCGACGAGAAGUGGAUGGGACCGCGGAACGGUGGUACGUUGCGUCCGUCACGUUGAUUAAUUGAUUAACGAUGAGACGUUUACUUUUCAUUGUUGUAGCCGGUAUUAUCUCAAUGCACGAGCGUUCGAUCGUAAGAAUCUCCGCAAACACGAGACUCGCUCGACGACACUUUUGCGAAUUAACGCGAAUCACCGUUUCGCGCGAACGAUGCCCAAUCACUGCUAUACUAAGCGCUACUGUAAAAUAUUGUAUAUUAUUUCGCGUUGUUUAUUUUUCAAUGUUUUUACUAGAAACGCGUUUCUACGGUAUUUAAAGAAGAAUUACCGCAUAAUGUUACGCGCUGCUCCGUUACACCGUAUAGAUUGCGAGAACAGUCGUGCAAUCGUUAUCUCUAAAUAAGUACUAGAAUCCUCACCUGUGUACAAUAUUUACACAGAGAAUUUGAAAAUAAAUUUUAAUUAACAUCGUACGCGCAAUUUUGCGCAUUAAAAGGUUACAAUUUGCAUGCGGCGCAUCCUCCAAUUUCUCUCGUGUUUUCCUCAUUACGUUCAACCUCUUUUCCAACCGGCUUUUCUAACGACAAUUUCCGUUUUCCUAAUUCACGUCGCGAGAGAACUUGAAAUAAUUUACGACCCGGCCAACUCUAUUACCAUCAUUGUCCGCUCUCUUACGGUGUUGCGAACCAGCGGGAUAAACACGUUUGUAAAACUGCAGCGUAUCUCCAGCAGCUUUCGCAGUGUGUGUGUGUGUGUGAGCUAAAAAAAAACGAAUGCAGAGCAAAACUAGUCUAGGGCACAUUUAAAGAGCGUAUGGCUUGGGUGCGGAGAAUGUAAUGUCCGACUUUGGCGUCACUCACGUGCUUUUGAAGAGAAACAGAAUAUUUCGAGUAGAAAAUCUUACAAACAUGUAAUUAUACGCAGUUAUAUUCGCGAAAUGGCCAUCUCAGCAACUACACUCAUCUCUUGCAGAAUGUGUAAAAUUCCACGAAUACUGUUCGCCGAACUUUCCUAUAAUUUCAUGAAAUGUCGUCAAUUUGCUCAUGAGAAAGUUUGAAAAUAUUGACCUUUCGGAAAACUUGUGAAAAGAAGACGAGUUAAUGUAAUUUAUUAAGGUAAUUCGCAUAAAUAGAAAAUAUUCGAUAUCUGCGACAAUAGCCCCUUGAAAUUUGAAACGUUGGUGAAAGUGGAAGGUCUGGGAUAUAAUUUUUUACAAUCUUGAAUGCUCGAAAGUACUAUUUUCUCAAAAGUACCGUAUGUCUCAAAGACGAGCCAAGCGGACGAGAAUCGUACGUUUGCGUUCCGCGAUAGUCUUUAUAGCGAAAAGACUACGCACUAUUAAUAAUAUGGCUAAUUCUAGCAGCACGAAGUAUUAACGUUAAUAGCGAAAUUAUUAUAAGGGAGACGUAACGGCGAAUUACUAAUAAAGGUAUAGGUCGCCAUCGAUGUUUCCCGAAACAACCUCCUUCGACAAAAUAUACGACGCUCGGAACAGUGGCAGAUGUAAAUGAAAAAAGUGAUACUCUUUUAUUCCAAUAAUUGGCUAAUCUUUCAAGAGGCUAAAAUUUUAUAAUGAUCGCCUAACAAAUAGUAUGCAAUAAAAAUGUUACGCUCCCUACCCAAAAACUGUUGACUCUUCCCUACGCUGAAGAAACCAAUUUCACUUACCACCUUUAAUUGUUACGCAAAAGGCAAUUGCAGAUUAUAAUGCAAAGUACGAAAAAAGAAAUUGGAAAAUUUUCUACGGUUGGAAUAGAUUGAAAUAGAUGCACGAAAAUGUCAUUUAAAUAUGUGCAAAUGACACAAAAAUAAUGCAGGUAUUAAUUAUCUGGAAUGAUGAGAUAAGAUGAAAAAUAUACAGCUUGGAUACGGUAAAGUGUUUGGAGGAGACCGAAAAAUAAAUUUAAGUAAAAGCUCAUUCGUCGUAACACAUAAAAAGUCUUACAACAAAGAAAUUGGAUUUUUCGACAAUAUAAAUAUGCAGCUCUCAAUUAUUCGAAUAAGAAGCAAUUAUUUUCAUUCAUUUAGAUUUGUCAUCGGAUCGAGUGCCGAUUACCGGGCAUCGCGGACAAACGAUAGCGUGUGUAAGGCACAAGAUGAUUUUUAUUACCGAGUUUCAUUUCUAUCCAAGUGAGGCAGAUUAUGAUGGAAUACAUUACGCUUGUAAAAUAUGAUUUACCUGAAUUUAAAAAGUGUGACGCUAAACUUUUCAAUUCUGUUUUUCGAUUACACGUGACUUUUUCUUUAGAAUACUUUAGAAAUGGAGUAUGACGCGAGGAAUUGUUAGGAAAUGAUUGAGGCUAGUGUCAGCAUCGAGACUCGAUGUGAGAGAAGCUUUACGCUGGAAGACGCUAAGCGUUAGAUGAUUACUAUAAAGCGUCAACAAGCGAAAAUACUUAAUUCUAGUCGUAUCUCUCAUGCUUUGCCAAGUAAGCAUAUAUAACUUUUGUGUUUAAAUGUAACAGUCAAUUAUGUUUUAAUAAAAUCUGCCAAGAUUC
This is an RNA transcript of Vollenhovia emeryi, 9020 nucleotides long. It is a transcript of the gene named protein vein, with no coding region annotated. Lineage: Eukaryota; Metazoa; Arthropoda; Insecta; Hymenoptera; Formicidae. The record is from RefSeq and is a predicted model, not a curated record. The transcript has 9 exons.